GGCCUGCCCUGCCCUGGAUACAACCAGCCACAAACACUUCAGGCACACAGAUAGAAGAAGGCAUCCUAUGGAAUCAUGUCAUAAGGAAAGGAUUGCCAUUUCUCAUGAACUCUGGCUCCCUGGAGCUGAAGAGAUUGAGGAUGAGGAUGGAGACACCGGUGAUCUUGAGUUCAAAAUUAAUCUAAGAGCUCUAGGUCUCAUUUGAUGCUGCUUGAUCUCCCUAGAGGUCUCAGCAGCCUUGAGAGCAAAAUUGAAAUCUAUGGAGACUGCUAGAAGAUCUUCUCCCCAGAACUAAAUGAGAAUCUAAACUUAUAGUAAUUCUUUAAGAGGAAAAAUAAACUCAAGGGACUUUA
Nyctereutes procyonoides (raccoon dog) is the source of this 353-nucleotide long non-coding RNA. RefSeq lists it as uncharacterized. NCBI's taxonomy places the organism in Eukaryota, Metazoa, Chordata, Mammalia, Carnivora, Canidae. The record is from RefSeq and is a predicted model, not a curated record. The transcript has 2 exons.